AUGCAUUUGAGAUCUAAAUGCAGGCAACCCAAGCCUGAGUCUGACCAAGGAUCAACUGCACAUCCAUGCAGCUGCAACAAGGCGCUGCAGCACAGUGCAAGGAGCACUGGGGCUAAGGAAGACAUACAGAUACUGUCUGCUCUUCCCAGCAUUCCCCCAGUGAAGGCACACUUCAUCUGGCUGCGCAUCCUUUCACCUCUCUGCCCCAAGAGCAGUGCAAACAGGGAGCUCAACUCAUGCUUCUCCCACCUCUGGAGAUGGGGACUGACCCCGUGGAGCGGCUGGAGAGAAACAGGAUGUCAGCAAACCAUGCAGGCAACUCCUGACGAGCCAGCGGGCUGCAUCAAGGUCCGUGUUUGCUUUCUGUCCCGGUGGGGAGUUUUCCAUGCAGACCAAUCAGGCUCCUUCCAGCCUGCAAAUCGCUUGCAGCUCGAUCCACUCGGUGCGUUACUUAAUGCUGGCACUGGAACCGGCUGUCGGAAGUCUACAAGCAAUCUCACUUUGACGGGCCAGCCCUUGUGUGAGAAAAAACAAAAUUCAGAUAGGGAACAGCAACAAACUGCUGUGACUAAGCUUUAUCUUGGCCAAGAUGCCUCUUCUGCCUGGGUUUCUGUCUCAGCUGGUGGCAGCCUGCAGGGGAUCACUGCACAAAUGCAGGCAAUGCGUUUGUGCUGUCCUGCUGCUCUCCUCUGGUUCGGUUUUCAGCCGUCCCUUUGCAGACUGGGGUUUCACCCAGCCCUGCUUCAGGAGGAAGGCAGAUCUGAGGCUGCUUUACCUGGCACCCACUUUCCAAGGACACACAGUGGCACUCUUCUGUUGUCCUGGGACACCUCUGCUCAUUUACACCAGUGCGGUAGCAAGUCAUUUAGGAGGGGCUUGGUGUUCACGCUGCUCCGUUGUGCAAAGACUGCAAGUAUUAAAAUCACUGCAAAUCUGUACAGAUACGCCUGCUGGAGAGCAAGAUGUGGUGACAGCUGCUCCAUCAGCACAACCCAGGCCCACAGCUUUCCCUAUUCUCAGCUGAACGAUGACAUUUCCAAGCAGCAAUCCCCGGAGCCAGCCCCAUCCGUGCUGCUGUCCCUUGUCCCACGCAGCACGGAGCGGGUGACCGAGGCAGGAUGUGACCCAUAGAUGGCACUGGCCUUCCACCACCGCUGUCCUGGGGCACCGCAUCUGCCGGACGUGAGUAACCCAGCGCAACCCUCGGGCUGCCAGCACCACCCACGGCCCCACGGCUCUAGUGUCACCGCUGGGCGAUGGAGGUGGGUGGCUGAAGUGGUCCCCAGCAAGCUACAGGUCCGUGCCGUGCACCUCGUGAGGGAGGGCUUUAAUCAUCUGCUGCCUGCAACGUGAGCAAGCGGCGACAGGAGGCUCCUGGCCUCCGACACCGGCAGGGACGCGUGCAGGUCGGUCGGUUCACGUCAAGCUCCUCUGGAUUUGCUGUUUUCACUCAAAUAACUCAACCUGCCCCACAGCUCUGCAGCGGCACACACACCGUGCUCAGGCUUUUCUCUUUCUCUCCGUCUGGGUGUAGAAUGCGUUACGGCUCAAGAAGCCGCCCUUCUCUUCUUCGUGUCCCUUCUGUUAGCAUCUUAACAAGGACACGGGCUUCAUUUCACCACUGGAUGAGCCGGGAGUGAAGCACGCAGUGGGACGUGGAGGUGGCCGUGCACGGGUGCUUGGGGGCUCUUCUUGUCUCCUUCCCAGAGCAGCAGUUCCACGUGCCCAGCUCCGUGCCGACGCUGGGGAUCUGGUUCUGGCUGCGGGCAGUAAGCCUGGUGGAAAAUUUCAGCCUUCUGGCCGGAAGAUAACCACUGACAGAGUUCAGGAGAGAGCAGUAAACUGGCGAGGAGCCGGAGGGACUGGUUUGUGACAAAAGGCUGAAUCAGAUGGUGGGGAGGGGCUGGAAGGUGCCCAAGGAGGGCGAAAGAUUUUGUCUAGGGGACAUCAGGAGGUAACUAAUUAACUAAAGGGAUGAAAGAGAGGGGGAAAUAGAGGACGGCUGUCGGAUGAAACCACCAUCCUGCUGAGCUUCCAGUGCGUUUCUAUCGCCCUGGGAGAAGCCCCAUCACCAGGGCCACAGCAGUGGGAGAAGGCCCAAGGAGACGGCCUUGUGUUGACCCAGGGGAUG
Molecule: long non-coding RNA, 2131 nt
Organism: Numida meleagris (helmeted guineafowl)
Lineage: Eukaryota; Metazoa; Chordata; Aves; Galliformes; Numididae
Source: Ensembl